Ataeniobius toweri is the source of this 74-nucleotide non-coding RNA. Lineage: Eukaryota; Metazoa; Chordata; Actinopteri; Cyprinodontiformes; Goodeidae. The record is from the annotation of a GenBank genome assembly.
GCAUGGUGGAAAAGUUGGUAACACUGUUGCCUUGAAGCUAAAAGGUCCUGGGUUUGAAUCCCAGCCUUUCUGCA